CAGGUGGUCAGGUAGAGAAUACCAAGGCGCUUGAGAGAACUCGGGUGAAGGAACUAGGCAAAAUGGUGCCGUAACUUCGGGAGAAGGCACGCUGACACGUAGGUGAAGUGAUUUACUCACGGAGCUGAAGUCAGUCGAAGAUACCAGCUGGCUGCAACUGUUUAUUAAAAACACAGCACUGUGCAAACACGAAAGUGGACGUAUACGGUGUGACGCCUGCCCGGUGCCGGAAGGUUAAUUGAUGGGGUCAGCGCAAGCGAAGCUCCUGAUCGAAGCCCCGGUAAACGGCGGCCGUAACUAUAACGGUCCUAAGGUAGCGAAAUUCCUUGUCGGGUAAGUUCCGACCUGCACGAAUGGCGUAAUGAUGGCCAGGCUGUCUCCACCCGAGACUCAGUGAAAUUGAACUCGCUGUGAAGAUGCAGUGUACCCGCGGCAAGACGGAAAGACCCCGUGAACCUUUACUAUAGCUUGACACUGAACAUUGAGCCUUGAUGUGUAGGAUAGGUGGGAGGCUUUGAAGCGUGGACGCCAGUCUGCGUGGAGCCGACCUUGAAAUACCACCCUUUAAUGUUUGAUGUUCUAACGUGGACCCGUAAUCCGGGUUGCGGACAGUGUCUGGUGGGUAGUUUGACUGGGGCGGUCUCCUCCUAAAGAGUAACGGAGGAGCACGAAGGUUGGCUAAUCCUGGUCGGACAUCAGGAGGUUAGUGCAAUGGCAUAAGCCAGCUUGACUGCGAGCGUGACGGCGCGAGCAGGUGCGAAAGCAGGUCAUAGUGAUCCGGUGGUUCUGAAUGGAAGGGCCAUCGCUCAACGGAUAAAAGGUACUCCGGGGAUAACAGGCUGAUACCGCCCAAGAGUUCAUAUCGACGGCGGUGUUUGGCACCUCGAUGUCGGCUCAUCACAUCCUGGGGCUGAAGUAGGUCCCAAGGGUAUGGCUGUUCGCCAUUUAAAGUGGUACGCGAGCUGGGUUUAGAACGUCGUGAGACAGUUCGGUCCCUAUCUGCCGUGGGCGCUGGAGAACUGAGGGGGGCUGCUCCUAGUACGAGAGGACCGGAGUGGACGCAUCACUGGUGUUCGGGUUGUCAUGCCAAUGGCACUGCCCGGUAGCUAAAUGCGGAAGAGAUAAGUGCUGAAAGCAUCUAAGCACGAAACUUGCCCCGAGAUGAGUUCUCCCUGAGACUUAGAGUCUCCUGAAGGAACGUUGAAGACGACGACGUUGAUAGGCCGGGUGUGUAAGCGCAGCGAUGCGUUGAGCUAACCGGUACUAAUGAACCGUGAGGCUUAACCUUACAACGCCGAA
RNAcentral lists this ribosomal RNA (1299 nucleotides) under Salmonella enterica. RNAcentral describes it as "partial 23S ribosomal RNA". It matches the Rfam family "Bacterial large subunit ribosomal RNA", at positions 1660 to 2925 of the family's 2925-position model. RNAcentral also lists the same sequence under 1 other name. Lineage: Bacteria; Pseudomonadati; Pseudomonadota; Gammaproteobacteria; Enterobacterales; Enterobacteriaceae. The record is from RNAcentral.